GGUGGUCUUCGAAACUUUCAGAGGAAAGGAUGCAAAAGAGAAAGUUGCUUCAAUAAGAUAGAUACCUAGGCGAGAUAAGUCUUGGUUCUUUAGAGGAAGAAUCAUGUGCAACAAAUUGCACAUGUUGAGGGGGUACAUUAAGAUGACAACUCCAUAAAGCUUAAUGGAUCGAGUAAGCGAUAAGGAGUCAUUACAUGAUCUCGCAUGAGGUAAGGCGUUG
This 220-nucleotide long non-coding RNA is filed under the name Musa acuminata (dwarf banana). RNAcentral's name for it is "long non-coding RNA (MACU_LNC010301)". The record is from RNAcentral. Lineage: Eukaryota; Viridiplantae; Streptophyta; Magnoliopsida; Zingiberales; Musaceae.